Molecule: ribosomal RNA, 310 nt
Filed under: uncultured bacterium
Lineage: Bacteria
Description: bacterial SSU rRNA
Rfam family: Bacterial small subunit ribosomal RNA
Source: RNAcentral
AACGAACGCUGGCGGUAUGCCUAACACAUGCAAGUCGAACGAGAAAGUGAUCUUCGGAUCGCGAGUAGAGUGGCGCACGGGUGAGUAACACGUGGAUAACCUGCCCUAUGAUCUGGGAUGACAUUUCGAAAGGGAUGCUAAUACCGGAUAAGCCCCACGACCUCUUUGGGGGAUGUGGGAAAAGAUUUAUCGUCAUAGGAUGGGGUCCGCGGUCCAUUAGGUAGUUGGUGGGGUAAUGGCCUACCAAGCCUGCGAUGGAUAGCUGGUCUGAGAGGAUGAUCAGCCACACUGGAACUGAGACACGGUCCAG